AUUAUAACUGCCCCCUUUGAUUGUAACCAUUCAGUUUGCAGCAUUCGUUUUUGUAAUAGCAGUUUGGCUGCUAUGGGUGUGAUUCAAUGGUAACCUACAAGGCAAAUUUGUACAGGAGCUGACAGAUUUUUCUAACAAAAUAAGGAGACUUUGAAGCACAUUGAAUAGGAGUUUUUAAAUGAAUAGGAUUUUUUAAAGGAAAAAGAGUAGGAGCUUGGGGGGGAAGGCUGGUUGAAAUAAAUGAGCAAAUCACAAAUAAUAAAUCCUUUAGAAAUACCUUGAUUGGCAGUAAGUGUGGAUUAUGCUCAUCUCAGUAUUUAAUUAGAAAUAACUUACCUUUGUCUUUUGUCUUUUUAAUUAAAGUGGCUGUAAAAAAGAAGGUCCAGAUGAACUGAGAUUGUUUGCUUAGGAAUUCUGUUUUACUCUUUUCCUUUUACCUGAUGUUCUAAAACAGGGCUUACCUUGUUGAGGACCUUAGAGGCUUUGCAAUUCUAGAUUGUGAUUCUUUCAUAUCAUUUUAGUUUUUCUCCCAAGACUACACUAAAGGAGACAUCACGAGAUUUGCAAGGUUAAAAACAAUUCUGCACGUGCUUCCUCCUGCUCCCAAAUCCGGUCAUCCACCUUUCAGAGCAGCACCGUAAAGUGAAGACAGACAUUUAUUAGAUGAAAUUCUGGUUUCACUUUUACACUUGUGCAAGCAUUUUUAACAGUAAAGGAGAGGAAAGGGAGGAAUUUAUAUUUCUAGAUAAUAUAUGAAAAUUACCUUGAUAUUGUAUUUUUAAGAUCUUUCACCAAUACUGCAGUGCUGCACUAGAAAUAAUUAGUUUAAGAAAAUACAUUCAACAUUGUCCAGGUGAUCCUGUCACCUUUUAGAUGACGAAAAACAUCUUGAGGAUGUUUUGUACAGUUAUUUUCCCAUUGUUACUCUUAGAGACUUUUGUUUCAAAAAGGCAGGCUCAUUUUAUUUUGUUUUAUCUUAGAACAUUUUAGCAGCUCUUUGUCAUGGGUUAAAAAAAUCUAGAAUUAAAAAAAUGUUUAAUAUAUGAUUUAUAUAAUUUUGACAAGAAUACAAAUUCUUAGUCGUUCAAAAUUGGAAGCGCUCUUAGAAGUGUCAAGCUCAGCUUUCCAUUCCACAAAUGAAGUAACUGGUAACUGUGACUUAUUAUGUUAUACAGUGACAGUUAUUAUGUUAUACAGUGUCAGUUAUACAGUGACAACCAGGACAAAAUCCUAGGGUUCUAGAUUCCCCUUCUGGUGCUCUUUUUACCAGAUGAUGGCAUUACUAAUUGCCUACCUUGAGGCCUUUGAAAUCACCAUGUCUGAUAAAAACAUGCAAUUGCUUUGGUGAAUUUGUUUGUUUUAUUGUUGUUGCUUUGAGUGAAUGCUUCAGUUUGCUCUAGAUUUUACUUUGUUAAAAAUUACCAUGUUUUAACCCCCGAAAACAUUUAAUGUUUUUGAAAUGAUUUUUUCAUAACAAUCUUAUGAGUCUAUUAUAUAAUAGGAAGUAUUUUGGAAAUUUAAUGGUGAUAUUUCUUUGGAAAAGAAAAAUAAAAACUCUGGAAUGCA
This 1566-nucleotide long non-coding RNA is filed under the name Homo sapiens (human). RNAcentral describes it as "non-protein coding lnc-TPBG-4:2". Lineage: Eukaryota; Metazoa; Chordata; Mammalia; Primates; Hominidae. The record is from RNAcentral.